This 16-nucleotide small RNA is filed under the name Arabidopsis thaliana (thale cress). RNAcentral's name for it is "ATSL188340". The record is from RNAcentral. Lineage: Eukaryota; Viridiplantae; Streptophyta; Magnoliopsida; Brassicales; Brassicaceae.
AGAGAAAAGAGAGGAC